This 1271-nucleotide long non-coding RNA is filed under the name Theobroma cacao (cacao). Its description in RNAcentral is "long non-coding RNA (TCAC_LNC001478)". Lineage: Eukaryota; Viridiplantae; Streptophyta; Magnoliopsida; Malvales; Malvaceae. The record is from RNAcentral.
AAACCCCACUUUUUUUCAAAGUCAAGAUGCAUGCAUAUGCAUGCAUGCCAAUCCAUCAUCAUGUAAUGUUUGCGAUGCUGUUAGCAUCAUCAUCAUCAUAAUCGUGAUACAUUAAAUACUAAAGAGGGAGGUCACGUGACUUGUGUGGACAAAUAUCCAGUGGACAGAAAGGUAACAUGCUUGCUACUGCUGCCAGCUGACUGGACUUUUCCUCUUUUCGCAAGUAGAGUGGGGGGGGGUAGGCGAUGCGGUUGGCGCCGGUGUCGGACAAGAUCUCAGUGUGUUUAUUUAUUUAUUUGCUUUGCAAUUAGUUGGCGACGUAUCAUCCGUUGGAUUUCACUGCUGCUCCUUUCGAUGCGAACAUGACCACGUGCCUCGACUGCCCCCAGUUCAAAGCUCCCUCUCUUUCUGCUUUUGUUACUAAAGGUUGGUGGUACUGGUACUAGUACUAGAAUUGUAUUACACCUUUUAGUGACGAAUAUAUAUAUAUAUAUAUAUAUAUAGCUAGAUUAUGUGCAAGGAGUAAAGGCUAACUUAGACAUAUUUAACUUAAUUUAGAUUAUUAGCAUGUUUUUUUAAAUAAUUAUAGGUAUUAGAUUUCUAUUUGUAACUGAUUUCGGGUUUCUUUAAAAUAUUUAAUUUGAUAAAAAAUUUGCAUAUUCGAGUAUUCAAAAUUAACUUAUGUCCGAUUUAUUAUCAUAUGGUCGUAAAUGCUCAAGUCAAUUUUAUGAAUAUUCAUUAACUUUAUAUAUAUUUCUCACUUUUUUAAUCAAAUUUCAGUUUGUUAAAUUGUAUCAAAUAUAAUCAUUUUAUGAAUUAUGUUUAAUUAAAUAAUGAAAUGAUUAUUCCGUAACUAUUUAAACAAUCAUGUCAAUUAAAAAUGUUUGAUCACUUAAUUAGGACGAAUUAAAGUUUUGGCGAAGAUCUUUGAAAUUUAAUAUAAAUUGAAAGAAAUUGGAAUAUAAAUCCAACUUAGUUUGGAAGGUAUUAUUAUAUUAAUAUUGGAGACCUCAAAUUUGCAUUACUGCAUUUUAAACUACAUCAAUGGAAGAGCCUCUAAGCAUGGAAUGAAGAUUUAAACCUCAGUUUUUCUCGGUUUUUUUUGCUUGGUUGCAUGGAAAAGGAUGAACAGACUUUAAAGCUCAUCUCCUCUCCAUGAAGAAACCCCAAUUAAGGAACAGGAAAUCAUCAACAAUGAAAAGGGAAAAAACCAAAAAGUACCACCUAGUCUGGAGAAGAUCUUGAUCAUCAACCUUAUACCCCCAUUUUCC